Molecule: ribosomal RNA, 217 nt
Filed under: Klebsiella michiganensis
Lineage: Bacteria; Pseudomonadati; Pseudomonadota; Gammaproteobacteria; Enterobacterales; Enterobacteriaceae
Description: partial 16S ribosomal RNA
Rfam family: Bacterial small subunit ribosomal RNA
Source: RNAcentral
AAAUUGAAGAGUUUGAUCAUGGCUCAGAUUGAACGCUGGCGGCAGGCCUAACACAUGCAAGUCGAACGGUAGCACAGAGAGCUUGCUCUCGGGUGACGAGUGGCGGACGGGUGAGUAAUGUCUGGGAAACUGCCUGAUGGAGGGGGAUAACUACUGGAAACGGUAGCUAAUACCGCAUAACGUCGCAAGACCACAACAGAGGACCUUCGGGACUCAU